This 762-nucleotide ribosomal RNA is filed under the name uncultured Prevotella sp. RNAcentral's name for it is "bacterial SSU rRNA". It matches the Rfam family "Bacterial small subunit ribosomal RNA", at positions 28 to 776 of the family's 1533-position model. Lineage: Bacteria; Pseudomonadati; Bacteroidota; Bacteroidia; Bacteroidales; Prevotellaceae. The record is from RNAcentral.
GAUGAACGCUAGCUACAGGCUUAACACAUGCAAGUCGAGGGGAAACGGCAUAGAGUGCUUGCACUCUUUGGACGUCGACCGGCGCACGGGUGAGUAACGCGUAUCCAACCUUCCCAUUACUGUGGGAUAACCUGCCGAAAGGCAGACUAAUACCGCAUAGUCUUCGAUGACGGCAUCAGAUUUGAAUUAAAGAUUUAUCGGUAUAGGAUGGGGAUGCGUCUGAUUAGCUUGUUGGUGAGGUAACGGCUCACCAAGGCAACGAUCAGUAGGGGUUCUGAGAGGAAGGUCCCCCACAUUGGAACUGAGACACGGUCCAAACUCCUACGGGAGGCAGCAGUGAGGAAUAUUGGUCAAUGGACGAGAGUCUGAACCAGCCAAGUAGCGUGCAGGAUGACGGCCCUAUGGGUUGUAAACUGCUUUUGUUUGGGAAUAAUCGACAUUACGUGUAAUGUUUUGCAUGUACCAUUCGAAUAAGGACCGGCUAAUUCCGUGCCAGCAGCCGCGGUAAUACGGAAGGUCCAGGCGUUAUCCGGAUUUAUUGGGUUUAAAGGGAGUGUAGGCGGUUGGUUAAGCGUGUUGUGAAAUGUAGAUGCUCAACAUCUGACUUGCAGCGCGAACUGGCUGACUUUGAGUACACACAACGUAGGCGGAAUUCAUGGUGUAGCGGUGAAAUGCUUAGAUAUCAUGAAGAACUCCGAUUGCGAAGGCAGCUUACGGGAGUGUUACUGACGCUUAAGCUCUAAGGUGCGGGUAUCGAACAGG